UACGGGGGGGGCAAGCGUUGUUCGGAAUUACUGGGCGUAAAGGGUUCGUAGGUGGCCAACUAAGUCAAACGUGAAAUCCCUCGGCUCAACCGGGGAACUGCGUCUGAUACUGGGUGGCUUGAAUCCGGGAGAGGGAUGCGGAAUUCCAGGUGUAGCGGUGAAAUGCGAAGAUAUCUGGAGGAACACCGGUGGCGAAGGCGGCAUCCUGGACCGGUAUUGACGCUGAGGCGCGAAAGCCAGGGGAGCAAACGGG
This 253-nucleotide ribosomal RNA is filed under the name uncultured bacterium. RNAcentral describes it as "partial 16S ribosomal RNA". It matches the Rfam family "Bacterial small subunit ribosomal RNA", at positions 524 to 776 of the family's 1533-position model. The record is from RNAcentral.